GAUACAGGCGCGCAAAGGGGGAAGCAGCUGUAGUUGCUCUUGGCGCUAUUUAAAUUUGACUGGAACAUCUAGCACCCAUUUUCCUUCCUUCCGUCACCCCAAAUCUUCGAGUUAUCUAGCUUGUCUUGACGAAAAAAGUUUGAUACUUAGGACAGCACUGCAAACUCCUCGCCCCUUCCUUUCUCCCGCCACCACUUCACCAAAAAGCUGGUAGAAUUUUCUAAAACCUUCCAAGUUGAGAGUUAGAAAUUCUUGGAUAAGCCGGCUUUUAUUUAUUUUUUUAAAGUGGAGACAAGAGGUCUGAAGCAUAUUGCGGGAUUUCUCAGCAAAAUAAGACUAUAAACUACAGAGAUGAGUUGCUGAUCCACAAGAAACUGGGAAUUGUUCACAUGGUUUGGUGAUCAGUAAAAAAUAAUUAUUAUUAUUAUUAUGUGGUGCAGUUAAGCUUUAUGAAAAUACAGUUGUGGCUCUUCAAGCCACUUCAUCUAGCCGAAUGACCCUUGGCGAUAUUUUAUGCCUAUAUCCUAAUCUAAUAAGAUUUCCUUCGCCCUCCAAAAACCCAGUAGAAGUGGUGUGACACUAGGAGGACCAAAAUAAAUGAAUUGCACAUGCCACUUCAUUCUACUUUUAAUCUUUUCUGUGAAUUCAGUGGAGCUCAGUUUAUCCUCAAAUGAAAAGAUGAAACCCAUUUGUUUCUCCUUCUUCCUUCUGCGUUCAAACAAUGACUUUAUUUGAAACCACCGAAAAAAUAAUAAAACCUUAAAACCUUUGCUAAAGCAGGGAACAACUACAGCCCUUAUUUAGAACUGAAAAAAAAAAAAAAAUCUCAUCUUCCAAUCAAGUUUUUGUGAGGAUUUAAAAGAGGAUGAUCUCCCUUCACGAAGAACUAUCUCCAGGACAAGAAAUUCUCAUCCAGGAUGCUACCCUUCACUCCGGAGUAACUGCUUAAUUUGUCUAAAGAAAAGGUCUGUCUGAUGGAGGAAACUUGAUGAAAUUCAACGACCUUUUCCCUUACCUCCUUGCCUAUUCAACCGCACAAAACGUGUAUGAGGGAAGGGGGAAAAAAUCGAAGGGGGUCUGAAAUACCCUUAACUAGCAAACUUCUUAGCCAUGGACAACUAAUAAAAUAUGGAGAGGAAUUUGCAGAGACUACCAGA
Long non-coding RNA from Sarcophilus harrisii (Tasmanian devil), 1157 nucleotides. RefSeq lists it as uncharacterized. NCBI's taxonomy places the organism in Eukaryota, Metazoa, Chordata, Mammalia, Dasyuromorphia, Dasyuridae. The record is from RefSeq and is a predicted model, not a curated record. The transcript has 3 exons.